GCACAGAACGCUUCCUCAGCAUCCCCCCACAUUGAGAUAUCGACUUGGUGAAACUCAUUUAGCCACCGCCGUCGCCACAGUCUUCUGGGCGGUAGCACAUGUGGUGGGUUUGCAUCCUCUUGUGAGUUUCCCCUUACAGAAAUAAUGGGUCUUAAUGAUCUACCGCAUGAGGCAAUUGAUCCUCAGCAUCCACUAAGCCACUGCUGACCGACCAAGAACUAGAGCACUCAGACCUUUUAGAGUUUUUUUUUUCCCCUUCUUGUGUGUGUUUUAGUGUGGUGCUACCUCAAUUGAUUUAGCCUUAUGAAGGAGUAAAGCCAGAUGCAGCUUUUUGUGCUUCCAAAGGGAGUCUGCUUUUAGAGAAUAAUCAUUACCCCCGUCAUCAGUCUCGGAGUCCAGCCUGAUCAAAGAAAUAAUAACAAACCAGAGAGGGGGACAAUGUGUCUGCUGUCUGGGGAGGAAAUGGAGAGGAAAAGAAUUGUCUGAUCUAAUUUAGCCAGGGAGACCACAAGGUUCCCUUUUUUCCACACCCAAUUACACCUGCUCCUCCAGGUUCACUCCACUGAGCAUGUUCACACACACACAAAGACGCUAAAAUAAGCACCAGCGCUGCCGCAAGAUCUCCACUUCCGGCGAAGACAAAGAGAGACUAUUUGCGUAUUUGUAUUGACAUAAAUUAAUUGCUUCAUGGCUUGUGAGAUUGAAUUAGGCUACGUGACACGCCUGCAAGUGGUGAUGCGGCUUUGAUUGCUGUCUUUAGUAGGGCUGAUUCCUCUCUGCCGUCAUUUAAAAGACAGUUUGAGUCCUUACAGAGCAGCCCUGCCUCCCUCCAACCCACCAACACUUAAUGAUUUUGUUUAUGAACAUGUAGACACAAAGGAAAUGUCUCUGAUAACAGAUACACAUUGCCCUGAGGUGUGUGUGUGUGUGUGUGUGUGUGUGUGUGUGUGUGUGUGUGUGUGUGUGUGUGUGUGUGUGUGUGUGUGUGUGUGUGUGUGUGUGUGUGUGUGUGCGCCUCUAUAAGCAUGUGUGUGCAGGGGAAUUGGUGAGGAUGUGUGCAUUAGCCUGUGAAAAAAAUGACAGUUUAUUUGCACAGACCUGCACUUCUUGUACCAUUCAACAGAAAGCAUUGCUUCCCUCACUGUGAAUGCAGUAUCUUAUUCAUCUUACCCCUCUGCCUCUUUACACUCACACAAACACACAAAAACAAGGAAGUAGGCGCCGGUAGAGGAAUGCUAACCCAGGUUUUUACAUUUCCCACUGUUUGGUUUAGGUUCAAUUUCUCUGAGGGGGAAACAGGAGGUGACUAUUACAGUGGUGUAAGAUGGUGUCGCCUUUAAGAUUAACAUUUUGUUUUUGCCUUGCAGGGAUUUACGCUUGAAGAUGCAUUUUGAUACAGCAUGGAAUAUAAAUAAACAUGUUGUCCAAGAAACCUGACACCUUAGAAAAGCAAAUUUAAAAAAAUGCAGUUUCUUACAAAAGAAUUCAUCCGUCCAUCUAUGAUUCUUUCAUUAUGUGUCGUGUUGCAAUCAUAGACUGUAUAUACUAUGGACAACUUGGUUCCACCCUCCGCCAGUAUGCAGAUUUGAAGCCAAAAAUCUCUCAGUAUUUUAGGGAUUUUCUCCACUUCCUGGAACCACCACUUGCACGGUAGCAUUGUACGCAUGCGGUGGGAGAGUCACCAAGAGUUGCUGUGAUGACGCUCGGCUCUAACAGCGUAUCCCCCGGGGUCAGCUACACGAUCUUCAUUUGCCCAUAGGCUGUAUCAAGUGUCAAUCAUAGAAAACAUAAACCCCCUAAUAACUUUUAAAAAUGGAGCUGCUCAGAAAAAAAGAGGACUUGGGCACAAACCAGUCUUAAAGUAACUACAUGUCAACAUCACAAGCAGGGGGGAGGAAAAAUUAUAUUCUAUCUAAUUAACUUCUAAGUUUGUCCAUAGCUCCAUAGCGAUUGCUGGAGGAGGCGCGAUUUAUGACCUAUACUGCAGUCUGUCACCAGAGGGUGCUGUUCUUGAGGAGUCCGACGACGUCCAUUCUACAUACAGUCAAUGGUUGCAACUGAAAAUUAAAUUGAUAAUAUUUGAGAUGUGUGAUAUUUUUUGGGUUCAAGCAUACCCGCUAACACUCCCGUUUUUCCCGUUACUCUCCCGUAUUUCAGACGUAUCUCCCGCCAACCUCCCGUAUUGUCAUUUCUCCGAGGAAUCUCCCGUAGUUUGCAUGGUCCCUGUUCAUUCAUGAAUCGGAUCACUAUAUUUGUCCAAAGUUUCCAGACACUCAGUUUCUACUGAGCCUCACAGACACUGGAUUGGUACUUUUACUUUACACUUUGGUAUGAUUUAGGUCGGUGUAAGCUGUAAACUAUAUUUAAACAGUGUUUGUUGCAAAACGAACACUUCAAUGAAAGGGAAACAAAUGCAGGAUAUAAUAUUCACGUUGAUAGUCUUGCACUGUCUUGGAGUGAUGCGUUCAGGGCAGCCUCAGAUAAAAGAGUAUUGUAUUGCACACACAGAUGUUCAGAAAGCCUCAUACAGGAGAGCAUGUAAAACAUAUGAGGACUUUAACACUUAUAUUAGUAGACUAAAGAAGUUCAAGGCAUAUCAUAGCUACUUUUUUUUAAUUACUGUUUGUUAUUGUUAAAACAAAACAAAAAAGAGUGCAGCUUCACUUAUACUUAUUUGGAUGAGUAAUCUAAUUACAAAUACUCUCAUAAUUAGCUCAUAUCCACCAUACAAGGUCACCCCAAAACUGCCCGGCACGCAGCAAAAAUCUCCCUGAUUUUAUCACCCAAAUGUUGGCAGGUAUGGUUCAAAUGAUUAUGCACCAAUUUCUAACAUUAUGAAUGAAUAUCAUGUUCCAUUUGUAGAAAGUCUGUCCGGCUAAUUGCAGCUGGUUGCAACCUUCACAUUCUCACUUUAAAUCUAUAUGAAUGCUUCUGCAGCAUGUCGUACUAGAUAAGUGGAGUAGAGGAGGAACAGUGAGAGAAAAUACAUGAGUCAACAAACUUUCAGUUUCGUGUCUGCUUCCAUUAGACACAAGGAUCUCUUCUCAGUAAGUUCAAUACAGGUUUUGUCAAACAGAGAGGGUCAGUCCAACGAGUAGCUUCUGCGCAUGCCUUAUCUAUACCAGCGCUGUAUGUCAGCACCCAUGGAGGUGGUGUUCUGGCUUUAUGUCUCUCUGUCAAAAAUGAAGGCACGUUGUCCAAUUUAAUGUUCAGUGCAGUUGAGGAAGGAGCCCGACGGUGCAUUGUAAGAUACGAGCAGAUGAGUGCUGCAGCAGUGAGGCAGAGGUUUUUGAAGUGUCAAGCGCAUGCCACUCACAAAAGACAGAACUAACCGUCUCUUUGUGCUAGGUGUUCAGAAAUUUUAGGCAGCACCCUUGUGAGGUUAGGUAGGCAUUUAAAGGACUAAGCAAAGGGUUAAAGCACUUCAGAGAAAAGCUAACAGGGAACAAAUCAAUCUCCCCUGAGUUGUCGAUUUUUUGGCUCAUAUGAGAUCCAGCAGGCGAGAAGGUGAUACAGAUUGCAGACCAUCCCAGACUGACUGACUGACAGCAGGCAUCUGUCAGAGGUGGCAGCUACAGACAGCUGUCUGGCAGUCCCAGUUUAUGAACAAUGAAUGGGUGGAGACAAGAGAGCCGGGAAAUCCAUCUCUCCUCUUGACAGCUUCCAUCACUCCUACAUCCCAAGUCAGCAAAGACACCUGAGGGCUUCUGUUUCUAACCUUUGUGCAAUCUCUUUCUGUUUGAGAAUCCCACUCAGACAGGGAAAAGUAAUUGUAGAGUAGAGAGGGGAAGACUGGGAUGCAGAAGUCUCAUGUCGGGAUCAAGCUUGCAAAGAGAGGCAUUAAAGUGGUCACAUGUAAGCUUAUAAAGAUGGGGAUCAUGUUGCUGUGGAGAGGAGCCGGGACACUUGGUUUCCUCCAGCUGACAAUAGAACGUGUCUGUGAAUAAAAUGAACUCUCUCCCAGAUAACAUCUACUACUGUCCUUCUGGGAGGUCUGCCACAUUACACUUUCUCUGUCACAGCUGUGAUGAAUCGUCUCCACAGCUUGCAGAAAUGUAACAUGUAGAGGAGUGGGAGUUAAAAAUACAACAUUUGCAGCUUUCUUUACAAAAUAUCUGCCCAAAGGAAUGCAUAAGUGUGAAAAAUAGCUUCAUAGUAAUAUCCACACUGAAUCUUAAACUACUGGGCUGACACAGAUAUGUCGGCAUGUGUGACAUCUGGAAAAUAAAAUGUUGCAUUAAAAUCCUUGAGAUGUGCAACCCCGUAUUUAUUUUCGCAGAGUUUGACAUCCGCCUACCCUGCCUGUUAAGAAAAUCCUGGCAACCAGGCAGAUGUUAUCCCCUCCUCUCCAUCUCCACCUCACUCCUCAUCGCUUCUCAUGCCUCUCAUCAUUCAAGCUGUGUACACAGCCUCUCCCUUUCUGGUUGCCCAGGCUCCUCUGGAGCUUGUUAAUUGCGUCAGUGACACAGGUCCGUGUGUGAAGAAGCAGCAGUAAUUGCUCCGGCCUGGCCUGAGAAGAGGAAGGUUGCAGCCGUUUGGCCUCCAGGUCUGCCCCAAGGCUACAAGAUUAGAUUUAUGCUUCCGUGUUUGAUGAGACAGAUAGCAUUAGCGGUUCUAUUAGGGAGGGAGGCUACCAUCAAACAUGUACGGCUGUCCUCAUUACACUUGAUGGAAAACACUCAUUGAUAUGGUGAUGGCUGAGGCAGUUUCUUUGACUGGCGCAUUUCAAGACCAAGAGUUAAAUAUCUGCUUCAAAACAGGCGAAGUAAAUGUACCACGAUGACCAGGAGGAAAAAUUCCGGUAUAUGCACAAAGAAGUCUUCCCACAGUGUACACUAAAGCACAAAAAAAUCCUAAAUAUAAGUUUUCCUUAAACAGGCAUGUAAUUGGAUCUAUUCCAGUAUUUGCUAAAUUUCAAUACAGGACUGACUGAAACUCCUUAUUUAAACACUGAUUUGAGUAAUAACUUGAUAAAUCAUUGAGCAAAGCUAAGCUGCUUUUUACUUUGGGAAUCACGUAACAUUAUCCACCAUCUACAGUUGGGGCCAAAAUUAUUAGCCCCCCUAUAAAAUUUUAACUUUUUAAAAAAAAAAUUCCUAAGUGCUGUUCAACACAUUUUUUUUUUUUUUACACAGCCUUUUCCAAACAUCCUAGUUUUAUUUUGGAUCCUUACAUUAUUUUACUUUGCACACAGAAACAAUAUUAUUUUACAAAAAAAAAAAAACUACCAGGGUGAAAAUUAUUAGCCCCCCUCAGGCUAAUAGUCAAUUGUGUGUCCUUUUUGCUGGAUAACAGCAUGCAGUCGGUUGCUGUAGUUUGUAACAAGGCUCUGGCACAUCUCCUGAGGAAUCCCGGCCCGUUCCUCUUUGGCAAAUCUUUCAAGCUCCCCCAGAUCUGAUGGUCUUCUAGCAUGAACCCUGGUCUUCAGUGCAGCCCACAGAUUUUCAAUAGGAUUUAAGUCAGGGCUUUGUGCAGGCCAGUCAAUAACGUUCGCUUUGGUUUCCUGGAGGCAGCUCCUCACCAGGAGUGCUGUAUGUUUUGGGUCAAUGUCAUGUUGGAAGACAAAGCGACGACCCAGACCCAGUUUUGCUGCUGACUGCUUGAGUUUUUUUUUUCAAAAUCUUCACAUAUCCUUCUUUCUUCAUUAUUCCUUCAACCUUGACAAGAUUCCCAGAUCCAGAUGCACUGAAACAUCCCCACAGCAUGAUACUCCCACCACCAUGUUUAACUGUGGGGACAGUGUCCUUGGGGUUAUAUGCCUCUCCCUUCUUUCUCCAAACAUAAGCAAUGUCUCUGUGACCAAAGAGCUCUAGUUUGGUCUCAUCUGACCAAAGAACACAUCUCCAGUUUGAACACUCUUUCUCCAGAUUGUCUUUAGCAUAUCUCAGUCUGGCUUGAAGGUGUCUUUUUUUGUAAAGGUGGAGUUUUUCUUGGCCUGCAUCUUCGCAGUCCAUUUCUGUUCAGGGCUCUAGAGACUGUUGUGUUUGACACCACAAUUCCUGACUUGACUAAGUCAGCAACUACCAUUUUGGUGGUUGUUCUAGGUUGUUUAGACACAUCUCCCACCAGUUUUCUUUCCAGUUUCCUACCUCUCCCAGACUUGUUCUGUACUGUGUGGCUCUCCUUGAAUUUUUUGAUGAUACUUCUCACUCCACUUCUUGACACAAAAGCUGUGGUAAAUUUUCAUAUCCUUCUCCUGCUUUGUGAGCAUCAACACUUCUUUUUCUCAAGUCUAAAGUGAAUUCUUUUGUAUUUGCCAUGAUGCCUUCUCAAGUGACAGCUCAAACACGUAACAAGGUUUUUAUACUGUGUGUAAAGUGUAGGACAACCCUUUGUUUUAACUUAAUUGAUUGAUUGAUUGAUGACAAGCUGUGAGCACUCGAAAGUGAAAGCACAUGAUUGCACAACAGUGGUUUUUGUUUUGGCUCAAUAAAAACGUCAAUUCUUAAGGGGGCUAAUAUUUUUGACCCUGGUAGUUUUUGGUUUUUGUGAAAUAAUGUUGUUUCUGUGUGCAAAGUAAAAUAAUGUAAGGAUCCCAAAUAAAACUAGGAUGUUUGGAAAAGCUGUGCAAAAAAAUCAUUAAUUUGUAGAACGGCACUUGGGAAAUUUUGGAAAAAAAAACUUAAAGUUUAAUAGGGGCUAAUAAUUUUGGCUUCAACGGUAUAUUAUAAACUGAUGGACAGCAUACCAAAAUCCACAAAAACUGCCCUCAAAAUAAUGUUUAUUUUCCCACAAAUGUUGAUGUCUUAAAAUAUGUAGCAUAGUUUGUGUUUUCUUAACUUGUUAGUCAUCAUUAUCUGCAAAUAAAAGACUGAUGUAUUUUAUGUUGAUAUAUGUUGUGAUGGCCCCUGCUUUUGUGUUAGUUGGUGGACAUACUGAUUUGUUGAUUUCUUCCAAGGUGCCUUCAGAACUGAUUGGAAGUAUCAACUCCAUAACAGCUCCUGGUGACCUCACUCUCUCUCUUUUGGCCCUCGAUUUGGCUCCCUCGCACCCACUGUGCCCGACCAGCUUUGCACCAUUAAUUUAGUGUAACCUUAUGUUAGUGCACUCUUCAACACCCCUCACUACACCAUGUUCACACACCCACAUGCAC
RNAcentral lists this long non-coding RNA (7093 nucleotides) under Xyrichtys novacula (pearly razorfish). The record is from RNAcentral. Lineage: Eukaryota; Metazoa; Chordata; Actinopteri; Labriformes; Labridae.